GACGAACGCUGGCGGCGUGCUUAACACAUGCAAGUCGAACGGAAAGGCCCUGCUUUUGUGGGGUGCUCGAGUGGCGAACGGGUGAGUAACACGUGAGUAACCUGCCCUUGACUUUGGGAUAACUUCAGGAAACUGGGGCUAAUACCGGAUAGGAGCUCCUGCUGCAUGGUGGGGGUUGGAAAGUUUCGGCGGUUGGGGAUGGACUCGCGGCUUAUCAGCUUGUUGGUGGGGUAGUGGCUUACCAAGGCUUUGACGGGUAGCCGGCCUGAGAGGGUGACCGGCCACAUUGGGACUGAGAUACGGCCCAGACUCCUACGGGAGGCAGCAGUGGGGAAUAUUGCACAAUGGGCGGAAGCCUGAUGCAGCAACGCCGCGUGCGGGAUGACGGCCUUCGGAUUGUAAACCGCUUUCGCCUGUGACGAAGCGUGAGUGACGGUAAUGGGUAAAGAAGCACCGGCUAACUACGUGCCAGCAGCCGCGGUGAUACGUAGGGUGCGAGCGUUGUCCGGAUUUAUUGGGCGUAAAGGGCUCGUAGGUGGUUGAUCGCGUCGGAAGUGUAAUCUUGGGGCUUAACCCUGAGCGUGCUUUCGAUACGGGUUGACUUGAGGAAGGUAGGGGAGAAUGGAAUUCCUGGUGGAGCGGUGGAAUGCGCAGAUAUCAGGAGGAACGCCAGUGGCGAAGGCGGUUCUCUGGGCCUUUCCUGACGCUGAGGAGCGAAAGCGUGGGGAGCGAACAGGCUUAGAUACCCUGGUAGUCCACGCUGUAAACGGUGGGUACUAGGUGUGGGGUCCAUUCCACGGGUUCCGUGCCGUAGCUAACGCUUUAAGUACCCCGCCUGGGGAGUACGGCCGCAAGGCUAAAACUCAAAGGAAUUGACGGGGCCCCGCACAAGCGGCGGAGCAUGCGGAUUAAUUCGAUGCAACGCGUAGAACCUUACCUGGGUUUGACAUGGAUCGGGAGCGCUCAGAGAUGGGUGUGCCUCUUUUGGGGUCGGUUCACAGGUGGUGCAUGGCUGUCGUCAGCUCGUGUCGUGAGAUGUUGGGUUAAGUCCCGCAACGAGCGCAACCCUUGUUCACUGUUGCCAGCACGUUAUGGUGGGGACUCAGUGGAGACCGCCGGGGUCAACUCGGAGGAAGGUGGGGAUGACGUCAAGUCAUCAUGCCCCUUAUGUCCAGGGCUUCACGCAUGCUACAAUGGCUGGUACAGAGAGUGGCGAGCCUGUGAGGGUGAGCGAAUCUCGGAAAGCCGGUCUCAGUUCGGAUUGGGGUCUGCAACUCGACCUCAUGAAGUCGGAGUCGCUAGUAAUCGCAGAUCAGCAACGCUGCGGUGAAUACGUUCCCGGGGCU
RNAcentral lists this ribosomal RNA (1346 nucleotides) under uncultured bacterium. RNAcentral's name for it is "bacterial SSU rRNA". It matches the Rfam family "Bacterial small subunit ribosomal RNA", at positions 28 to 1381 of the family's 1533-position model. The record is from RNAcentral.